GAUCAACGCUGGCGGCGUGCAUAACACAUGCAAGUCGAACGAUGAAACUUAACUGAUUUCUUCGGAAUGAUUUUAAGUGGAUUAGUGGCGGACGGGUGAGUAACGCGUGAGUAACCUGCCUUGCACAAGGGGAUAGCCGUUGGAAACGACGAAUAAUACCCUAUGAUAUAAACUCUUCGCAUGAAUAGCUUAUCAAAGAUUUAUCGGUGUAAGAUGGACUCGCGUCUGAUUAGCUAGUUGGUGGGGUAACAGCCUACCAAGGCAACGAUCAGUAGCCGGCUUGAGAGAGUGUACGGCCACAUUGGGACUGAGACACGGCCCAGACUCCUACGGGAGGCAGCAGUGGGGAAUUUUGCACAAUGGGGGCAACCCUGAUGCAGCGACGCCGCGUGAUUUAGAAGGCCUUCGGGUUGUAAAAAUCUUUUGUAUGGGAAGAAAAUGACAGUACCAUACGAAUAAGGACCGGCUAAUUACGUG
RNAcentral lists this ribosomal RNA (477 nucleotides) under uncultured bacterium. Its description in RNAcentral is "partial 16S ribosomal RNA". It matches the Rfam family "Bacterial small subunit ribosomal RNA", at positions 28 to 507 of the family's 1533-position model. The record is from RNAcentral.